GACGAACGCUGGCGGCGUGCUUAACACAUGCAAGUCGAACGGUGAAGCGCCUUCCUUUUUGGUGGGUGUGGAAGAGGGGCGAACGGGUGAGUAACACGUGAGUAACCUGCCCCCUUCUUCUGGAUAACCGCAUGAAAGUGUGGCUAAUACGGGAUAUUCUGGGUCUGUCGCAUGAUGGGUCUGGGAAAGAUUGUGUUUCGGUGGGGGAUGGGCUCGCGGCCUAUCAGCUUGUUGGUGGGGUGAUGGCCUACCAAGGCGGUGACGGGUAGCCGGCCUGAGAGGGUGGACGGCUGCGCUGGUGCUGAGCCACGGCGGGGCCGCCUACUGGACGCGGCAGUGGGGAGUGUUGGACGAUGGGAGUAAGCCUGAAGCAGCGACGCCGCGUGGGGGAUGGAGGCCUUGGGGUUGUGAACCUCUUUCGCCAGUGAAGCAGGCCUGCAUCGUUUGUGGGUGGGUUGACGGUAGCUGGAGAAGAAGCGCCGGCUAACUACGUG
Molecule: ribosomal RNA, 494 nt
Filed under: uncultured bacterium
Lineage: Bacteria
Description: partial 16S ribosomal RNA
Rfam family: Bacterial small subunit ribosomal RNA
Source: RNAcentral